Molecule: long non-coding RNA, 1845 nt
Organism: Phasianus colchicus (ring-necked pheasant)
Lineage: Eukaryota; Metazoa; Chordata; Aves; Galliformes; Phasianidae
Source: Ensembl
CUGUUCCACAUAGAGAUUCACAGACGUGGUGGGAUGCACUGUGGAAUGCUGCUGACUGAGGUGUGCCAGCACCGAUUUGACAAAUGUGCCCUUUUGUGCUGCUGAGGUUCAACCACUGCCAGAAGUGUCCAAAGUGUCCUCUGUCAUCGCCAAUAACAAUUACUAAUCUGGAAUUUGGAAUGCUCUGCUGUGCCAUUCAUGAGCAGCUUUUUAGUAGUCUUGCAGCCAGGAACAAUUUAUCUGCCCAUCACUCUGAGCAGUGUGUGAGGAGGUACGUGUGGUUAAAACGUGUGGAGCAAGGUGACCACAAGUGCUUUUUGCCAGAAUUUUUUGUGCUAGCUUUUCUGAGGAGCUGUGGGAAGAACACCCAGAGCAGGGUUUGCCCAGAGCCUGUCAGGCUGCGGCCAUCAGGUUGAAGUGAUGCCUUAGCUGUAGUGCAACACCUUGUGCCACCAAUACCUGCAGGUGGGGAUGAGCUGUAAGUCAUGUGGGCUCACAAUGAUGGUACCUGUCUUGCCACUGAGCAGCAUUUCAUGGGACAAGGGUCACUCCCUUAUCCAGGUCCAUACACGUGCAAGAUUUGGGCCUUUGGCGUGGGUUCCUCUGACACGAAACAUGAGCCACUCCUUUGUCAGAUUCGUAGCACUCUGGAAAGCCCUGAACUUCUGCACAUCUCCUGGGCAGCAUUUCAAAACGUGCUGAGUGUUCUGGCAUUGUUCAGAACCAAGAGCCUCUCGUGGGGCCCUUAAGAAAUCCUGAGACUGCAGCUGGCUAUCACUCUGAUAUUACCACGAUGGAUUCCCUGAGAUCUCCUUGUCCUCAAUCUUACCUAAAUAGCAGCUCCCAAAUAGCCACAAAUUUGGGAAUGGACCAAGCCAAUCAACUACAGAAUUAUAAAUAACUCUGUUUUAUACAUACGAUGGCACUCCUUGCAUCCUAGAGAAGCGUGCAUACACUGAGUUGUUUAGAGUCUUCCCCCUUGAUCGACUGAUCGAUUUGGAUCUGGAGCACAUUCAGGAGACACGCACCCAUGAAGAUGGGUUACUGAGCAGCAAACAGGCCAACAGACAAUCACUUCUCCAGGGGCUGCACGGCUCUUCUCUGCUUCCCUCACAGCUUUCUGCUGUCUACAUUUUGUGUGAGCUACCGACUUCUGUCGUAUUGCUUGUUUCAGAACUGGUGAUGUUUGAGUUAACUCCUACAGGCGAAGCCAGGAGGCAGUCAGCAGCUUUUCAGGAUGUGUGACCUCUCCUAGCAAACUUGGAAGGGCAUCUGUUGACCAGCUCUGAUACUGUUUGUUUUGGGAGGAAGCAAGGUCUAUAAAAAGGCUUAUUACACAGUGUAAAUGAUUUUCUUUUUGCUAAGCAAAUAUUUGCAAUAUAUUUUGGGAGAUCAAGCAUUCAAAGUGAAAAAGCGUGAUACCUGCCAAGGAUGUGAGAAGCACAUAAAGGAUAUCUUAAACUGGGAGAACAUGGGAUGGUUUUACAAUCUUGAUCUAUGAGGAAACCAAUCUGAGGCCCUUUCAGCUCAAUCUCAGUCUUCAGACACCUCAGUCUAGAAAGCUUUUCACAAGCCCUCUUUGCUUCAGCAGUUCUGCUAGUUCUUUUUGCAGAAGCCAAAGUACUGUGGAACAGAGACAAAUCCUAAGACUUCAGCAAACGAGCAACGUCCUUAUACAGGACUUUCCUAGAAGGCAGUUUAUUUUACAAAGGUCUGAAGCAACAAUAAUGCCCAGUUAUGGAGAGUACACAUCUAGCUGGAUGGCAGCUCUCAGUUGUGUCAUAAUUUCUGUAUCGUUCCUUUGGCUUGAAUAAAGGUUGCAAGGAAAGUAGUUGUUUAAACUAU